CCUAAGGAUUUUCUUUAGGGGAACAUGGGGGGGAUUAUGACAGUAUCUGAACCUGGGCUGGACUCACCUAAGCAGCAUCGGCUUUUGGGGCCACCCCCGCUGAAUUAUUAACCCGUGUCUUUUGCGUACUUCUUGUUUCCUUGGUGGGCUCGCCCACCACAAGGACAAACCAUAAACCUUUUGUAAUUGCAAUCAGCGCCAGUAACAACAUAAUAAUUACAACUUUCAACAACGGAUCUCUUGGUUCCGGCAUCGAUAAAGAACGCAGCGAAAUGCGAUAAGUAGUGUGAAUUGCAGAAUUCAGUGAAUCAUCGAAUCUUUGAACGCACAUUGCGCCCUUUGGUAUUCCAAAGGGCAUGCCUGUUCGAGCGUCAUUUGUACCCUCAAGCUUUGCUUGGUGUUGGGCGUCUUGUCUCCAGUUUGCUGGAGACUCGCCUUAAAGUCAUUGGCAGCCGGCCUACUGGUUUCGGAGCGCAGCACAAGUCGCGCUCUCUUCCAGCCAAGGUCAGCAUCCAUAAAGCCUUUUUUCAACUUUUGACCUCGGAUCAGGUAGGGAUACCCGCUGAACUUAAGCAUAUCAUAGCCGGAAGGAAAUCCU
This 598-nucleotide ribosomal RNA is filed under the name Alternaria brassicicola. RNAcentral describes it as "eukaryotic LSU rRNA". The stretch from base 221 to 374 matches the Rfam family "5.8S ribosomal RNA". The record is from RNAcentral. Lineage: Eukaryota; Fungi; Ascomycota; Dothideomycetes; Pleosporales; Pleosporaceae.